RNAcentral lists this transfer RNA (72 nucleotides) under Bos taurus (domestic cattle). It matches the Rfam family "tRNA". From Rfam's summary of the family: Transfer RNA (tRNA) molecules are approximately 80 nucleotides in length. The record is from Rfam by way of RNAcentral. Lineage: Eukaryota; Metazoa; Chordata; Mammalia; Artiodactyla; Bovidae. RNAcentral also lists the same sequence under 4 other names.
UCCCUGGUGGUCCAGUGGUUAGGACUCAGCAUUUUCAUCGCUGGGGCCGGGGUUUGAUCCCUGGUCAGGGAA